RNAcentral lists this ribosomal RNA (422 nucleotides) under uncultured bacterium. RNAcentral's name for it is "bacterial SSU rRNA". It matches the Rfam family "Bacterial small subunit ribosomal RNA", at positions 794 to 1219 of the family's 1533-position model. The record is from RNAcentral.
UCCACGCAGUAAACGAUGAAUACUAACUGUUUGCGAUACACAGUAAGCGGUACAGCGAAAGCGUUAAGUAUUCCACCUGGGGAGUACGUUCGCAAGAAUGAAACUCAAAGGAAUUGACGGGGGCCCGCACAAGCGGAGGAACAUGUGGUUUAAUUCGAUGAUACGCGAGGAACCUUACCCGGGCUUGAAAUGCAGACGACCGAAGUGGAAACACUUCUUCCAGCAAUGGCGUCUGUGUAGGUGCUGCAUGGUUGUCGUCAGCUCGUGCCGUGAGGUGUCGGCUUAAGUGCCAUAACGAGCGCAACCCUUAUCAUUAGUUGCCAGCGGGUCAUGCCGGGAACUCUAGUGAGACUGCCACCGUAAGGUGUGAGGAAGGUGGGGAUGACGUCAAAUCAGCACGGCCCUUACGUCCGGGGCGACAC